This 128-nucleotide ribosomal RNA is filed under the name Heyndrickxia sporothermodurans. RNAcentral's name for it is "partial 16S ribosomal RNA". It matches the Rfam family "Bacterial small subunit ribosomal RNA", at positions 1414 to 1533 of the family's 1533-position model. Lineage: Bacteria; Bacillati; Bacillota; Bacilli; Caryophanales; Bacillaceae. The record is from RNAcentral.
GUAACACCCGAAGUCGGUGAGGUAACCUUUUGGAGCCAGCCGCCGAAGGUGGGACAGAUGAUUGGGGUGAAGUCGUAACAAGGUAGCCGUAUCGGAAGGUGCGGCUGGAUCACCUCCUUUCUAAGGAA